UGCGUAGGCGGAAGAUUAAGUCAGUGGUGAAAUCCUGCAGCUCAACUGUAGAACUGUCAUUGAUACUGAUUUCCUUGAAUACAGUAGAGGUAGGCGGAAUAUGUAAUGUAGCGGUGAAAUGCUUAGAUAUUACAUAGAACACCGAUUGCGAAGGCAGCUUACUAUACUGUGAUUGACGCUGAGGCACGAAAGCGUGGGGAGCGAACAGGAUUAGAUACCCUGGUAGUCC
This 229-nucleotide ribosomal RNA is filed under the name uncultured bacterium. Its description in RNAcentral is "partial 16S ribosomal RNA". It matches the Rfam family "Bacterial small subunit ribosomal RNA", at positions 568 to 796 of the family's 1533-position model. The record is from RNAcentral.